Molecule: transfer-messenger RNA, 352 nt
Filed under: Oscillospiraceae
Lineage: Bacteria; Bacillati; Bacillota; Clostridia; Eubacteriales
Also listed under: 1 other name
Description: CAG-353 sp017848125 Standard tmRNA
Rfam family: transfer-messenger RNA
About the family: Bacterial tmRNA, also known as 10Sa RNA or SsrA, is named for its dual tRNA and mRNA-like properties. Its role is to liberate the mRNA from a stalled ribosome.
Source: RNAcentral
GGGGAUGUAAAGGCUUCGACGGGGACUUUGAAGCACGAUAAGCGAGCAGAGGAUUGUGCUGAUCUCUUUAACCCGCACACGUUUUAAAAUUAGACGACAACGAUAAUUUUGAAUUAGCAGCUGCUUAAUUGCUGCUCGUCUGCCCGAGAAGUACCGUGGUCUCGGAACAGGCGCCGAUCAACGGUGAACGUCUUGCAGGCUUGUCCGGACCUGCCUGAUGUAUUACGGACUACCGAACGCCUGAACGUGUCUGUUCGUGCCUGCGUAAGGGAAUGUAAAUAACAGACUAUGCUCGUAGAAAGUUGUGUGGAUUGGUUUUCGGACACGGGUUCGAUUCCCGUCAUCUCCACCA